ACUGGCCAAGGACCCUGUCUCCUCCCCUUCCUCCUCUCCCAGCUAAACCAUAGAUGCAGAUUCUUCUAGAUCCAUAGCAAGGGCUAUAUCUGAAGGCCCAGGUUUGAGCCCCAGCUCUCGGUUGGGCUACCAAAACCCCUUCAUGUCUUUGGAUUAUGACUUGCUCGUAACAACAGAUGAGUUAGGUAGAUUCAUAGAAAACUUUCCAUGUUUGUGUGUCCUUGCCUCUAGAUAGGCAUCCCCCCUACCCCCCUUCAAGCACCUUGUGUUUUCUGGAGAGUUCAUUUCAUUCCAGCCGAUGACGUAGUCCUGUGUUUCCUCCUUGUGUCUCUUAUCACCCAGAGGAAUUUUAAUUAUACAUGUGAAUAGCAGGGUGGGGGUAAGGAUGGAGAGAACUGCCACUUUCCAUGGCUGGUGUGUGAGCGCAUGGUCAUGCAUGUGCGUGAACUGCGCCUCUGGCAGCUUCUGGACUUGCCAGAGCUCUGCCCUAGCUGUGCAGGCCUCCUGGAGAUUGCAGCAGAGGCCAGGCUCAGGGACAGAGGUUGCUCUGCUCCUGCCUGUUGUUUUACCUUGUUUAGCCAGGUAGGCUGCUGCAUUGACAAGCCAGGAAACAAAGGCCAGAGGAGUGGGGGUGCUAGUACAGCUUGGAGCCCCACUGUCCAUCUGCCCAGCUUUGGUUCUGUGCUCAGCCAGCUCUGGGUUUAGCUGUAAAUCACUUCUGCCGGAGGGCUGGAUGCCACUGUGUGCCCUCUGAUUGGCAUGCACGCUGCAUCGGUGUCCUGAAGGGAAGCAGAAAGAAAGGGAGUGGAGGAGGCGGACCAAGGGAGAGACACAGCUCUGCGCACCCAGGCUUGGCUUCUCAGACUUGAUCGACAGUCAGUGAACCAGGGGGAGGCUGGUGACGUCCUUUGGAAGCCUCGGGGCCAGCGAGUCUUCUGUCAGCACCAAUGACUCAGGAUUCCUGGGUUUAUUCUGAGCAUCACUCUGUCCUGUUGAGGGAGGGGGCUCAGUCCCUCCCCUUUCACCAGGAUGCCGUCUGGUGCAAUGGAAAGAGGCAAUUCAGAGCCAGUGGGCCUGGACUGCUUUCCUGGCUGGCUGGGCACUUGCUCCCUGGAUAUAACUUUAGGGGAGUUGCAUAGCCUCAAAGCGUACUUAAAACUCUUCACCAGGACCCCUGGUUGGGCCUCCUUGGGUCUGUCUUCAGGGGUUGGCCUCUGGGGUGACGACUGGUUGGACAACUCCUCCAGAAGCUGCCAAACUCCUCUGCCCAACGUGGUCCCCACCGUCCAGCCGCGCUGCCCGUGCCACCUUUGCUCUUGAACUUCCCAUGCUUGUCGCUCAGAGCUCAGCUCCACAGGGGGCAGCAUGCUCCACAUCUGGGAUCCAGCUUGUCUAUGGAAUGUGUUCUGAGCACAGCAUCCAUCUGAGCAGAGAUGAAGCUGGGCCAGGGUCCGGUCAGGAUGAAGCCACUCCGAAAGUCUGAGUGAGGAACUGCAGUGGUCUUGGGAAUGAGGCAAGGCAUCCAUCUACCCCAGCAAUUCUCAACUUUGGGCGACUUUGCCACCCAGAGGACAUUUGACAGUGCCUGGGGACAGGUUUUAGUUGUCAUAACUGGGAGAUGCUAGUGUCAUCAAGGAAGUAGAGGUCAGGGAGGCUGCUAAACCUCCUAUGACCCAAAGGACAGCUCCCACAACAAAGAAUUCACCAGCCCAAGACGUUAGCAGUGCAGAGGUUGAGAGAUGCUGAUGUAGGCUGGGAACUGCCCAGGAAAUGGGCAUAUUGGGAUAGACAGGACUUUGCAUUGCUAGCCCUGGUGGUGGUGGCAGCUGUGGGAUGCAGAGAACUUGGGCAUCUCCAGUGGGUCUUGCCCUCCCCUGUGCAGGAAGAUGCCAAUCAGUGGUGCAGUGAAGCUGAGGCCCUGGGUGCCUUGUUCACGUCCCCUGGGCACCCUCCUUGUACUGGCUGCCGAUGGCGCCCCACAGCAAACACCACAGCUCUCCAACCCUCUGCUGGGGGUGUCUUUUCUGCCCACAAGCAGGACAGGGGAGAAAUGCCCCGGAGCUCACACCCCCAGGCAGGGGCAGGGGGGAAGCCCUCAGCCAUUGAUGGUAAGAGCUGGGGGAUAAAUCCCCAUGCAUAUUCUGCACUGUUUCCCAGAGAUCCCCGUGGGACCCAGCCUCAGUUGUCCCCUGUGGUCAUGGGCUCAUUAAUGCACCCUCUACUGCUCAUUUCUUUCUGUCCUCACUUCCCAGACUUUCCUGCUGAUGCUUCUUAAGACCACCUUGCAAAUUGACUGCUUCAUUCCUGUGUAAGAGUUUGUUUCUGGGGCCCCCCGGCCCGAGACAAGGAGCCCUCUCUGUGUGUAGGGACUAAUAACGGCCACGCAUUGAUGCACUUCGUUCAGCCAGCCAGCCAUUUGGUCAGCCCGCAGCACUUGCUGAGCACUGACUAUGUACCAGGAACUGAGGAUCCGUACCCACUUAUAAAUGGGGAGACCGAGGUGCCAAGAUGCACAUAUAUUUGUUCAGAGCCCCUCAAACAGUAAGCGACCAAAACUAGAACAUAAAGCCCAAGCUCUUAAAUAUAUUUUAUGACCAUUAUACCUACCAGUUAUUCCUCAACUGGCCGUGCUCAGAAUUACCUGGAGGGCUUUGUAUAAACACAGAUGUCUGAGCCCCAUUCCAGAAUGAGUCAUCAGCUCUGGGAGUGGGGCCCUGGCAUUUGUAUUUUUAAAAGGCCCUAUAAAGCACAUGUGCACACAGAUGGGGGAAUCUGUGCACCCUUUCCCCGGCCCCCCAGCACACACACACACACACACACACACACACACAAGGAGUGCCUGAUUUAUGAGCACUGGCUUCAGGAUGAAGACAGGGAGAGGAAGAAGCCCCUCUCUAACGAAGACUGAAGCUCAAGGCUGCCCAGAUGUUGUCACCCACCUGCGCCCCUAACCCCCGAGGGAAGUUGGCACCCCGUGGGACAGGGCCAGCUCCCCCUUGUUGAUUUAACAUCUUUACAGAAUCAUCUUGCCAGGUUUCACCUAGACAGGCUGUCCUGUGGUUUCCACUGCUUGUUUUACGGUUGGGGUUUCCUGUCCUGCCAUAUGGUGAGCCCUUGUAAGGUGUAGUGCUAAUGGGGCCACACGCGGGCAGGCGGGUGCUUCCUGGGACAUGAGCCCAAUGGCGCCAGAGCCCCCAACUCUGCUCUCACCUCUACCUGCACCCUGGAAGGGUUCGAGAUGGAGGGAUUUCAGGCUAAAUAUAGAGGCAGACCAUUAAGAAACAGCAUGUCCUGCCCCUCCCCAGUCUCUCUGGGCUUUCCAUGUGAUGGUUUAAUUGCUCUGACAAUCUGUUCUGUUUCUCCCUUUGCAGUGCAUGAAAGCAGCAGCCACGGUCUGUGGUGAGAGGCUGCUUUGGAGACGGGAACAGCUUUUUAGAGGAAGAAGGAGGCUUCUUCGGGUCUCAGUACACAGGGUGCUCGGGCUUUAUUUUCAGAGGUCUCUACGGGGUCUCUGCCCACACCUCCCCUCCCCCUCACCCCCGUGCAAUGCUCACCAGAUGUUCGUGCUGGCUCCGGAAUGGUGGGGUCACUGUUUGUACUGAACGGCAUGGCAGGAGUGGCAUCGGGCUUGAGGGCAGGCAGACCUGGAACCGGAUUCUGGCUCUGCCCCUGACGAGCUUUGGGAUUGUGGAAAGGUCAUGUGACUUUCAGGAAAUGAAAUGACAGGAGGGGCCAGCCACUUGUGCAGGGUGGGUGUGAAGCCGAAGGGAGGGGGGACUUGAAUGGAUGGCACAGAAUAAGCCAUCCACGUGGUAGGGGACCAGCCACACAUCAGGGCCUCAGUAGAGUGGCUACUUGUCAAGACUUCCUGGGCUUAAUAGCUGUGUGGCCUUGCUUUUCAUGUCUGGAAAAUGGGUAUCCUAACAGCACCUACUUCUAGGACUAGCUGCAUAGUGUUUGGAGCCCAAGGCAAAAUGGAAAUGUGAGGCCCUCCGAAAAUGAAGAAUUUUAGCACAGUGACAGCAGAGCAUUAACCCAGGCGUGUGGCCCUUCUGAACUCGGGGCCCUGUGUGACCACCCCGCUGGACACCGUUUACUGUAAAAAGUGGUGGCCACAGCCCCUGCACCGGGCUGCCACUUGACCGUAGCAACAGGCCCUGCAGGCUCCGUGAUGCCUCAAGACUGUCCAGACAAAGUGACGGUCCACCUGACAGGUUCUGGGGCCCACUGGGGGCCGUCACUCAAUGUGAACCCUUGAUGCCGUUUCUUUUGGUGUUUAUUUCAAGAUUUCAGAGGCAACAGAAGUGCCCCGGGAGCAGGGACUUAUUUGGCCAGUGAGGGUGGGGGAGGUAGAAUGGACACUCAACACUUUGUUUUUCCAUUUUGGAAACUCAAAUGUCAAAAAAAAAAAAAA
RNAcentral lists this long non-coding RNA (4414 nucleotides) under Canis lupus familiaris (dog). Its description in RNAcentral is "lncRNA (ENSCAFG00000053920.1)". The record is from RNAcentral. Lineage: Eukaryota; Metazoa; Chordata; Mammalia; Carnivora; Canidae.